GACGAACGCUGGCGGCGUGCUUAACACAUGCAAGUCGAACGCUGAAGACCUGGCUUUUGUUGGGUUGGAUGAGUGGCGAACGGGUGAGUAACACGUGAGUAACCUGCCCUCUUCUUUGGGAUAACGCCCGGAAACGGGUGCUAAUACUGGAUAUUCACUGAUCUUCGCAUGGGGGUUGGUGGAAAGGUUUGUUCUGGUGGGGGAUGGGCUCGCGGCCUAUCAGCUUGUUGGUGGGGUGAUGGCCUACCAAGGCUGUGACGGGUAGCCGGCCUGAGAGGGUGACCGGUCACAUUGGGACUGAGAUACGGCCCAGACUCCUACGGGAGGCAGCAGUGGGGAAUAUUGCACAAUGGGAGAAAGCCUGAUGCAGCGACGCCGCGUGAGGGAUGGAGGCCUUCGGGUUGUAAACCUCUUUCGCUCAUGGUCAAGCCGCAACUGUGGGUUGUGGUGAGGGUAGUGGGUAAAGAAGCGCCGGCUAACUACGUG
RNAcentral lists this ribosomal RNA (486 nucleotides) under uncultured bacterium. RNAcentral describes it as "partial 16S ribosomal RNA". It matches the Rfam family "Bacterial small subunit ribosomal RNA", at positions 28 to 507 of the family's 1533-position model. The record is from RNAcentral.